Molecule: ribosomal RNA, 258 nt
Filed under: uncultured bacterium
Lineage: Bacteria
Description: partial 16S ribosomal RNA
Rfam family: Bacterial small subunit ribosomal RNA
Source: RNAcentral
UACGUAGGUGGCAAGCGUUGUCCGGAUUUAUUGGGCGUAAAGCGAGCGCAGGCGGAAUGAUAAGUCUGAUGUGAAAGCCCACGGCUCAACCGUGGAACUGCAUCGGAAACUGUCAUUCUUGAGUGCAGAAGAGGAGAGUGGAAUUCCAUGUGUAGCGGUGGAAUGCGUAGAUAUAUGGAAGAACACCAGUGGCGAAGGCGGCUCUCUGGUCUGCAACUGACGCUGAGGCUCGAAAGCGUGGGUAGCGAACAGGAUUAG